UUUUUGAGAAUCGGCUGGCAUCAGGGUGCUGACUGACAAACUUCCCGGGGUCUGGGCACUGUGGGGACGGAGCCUGCAGACGGCGGUGUCCCCGCUAGGAGAGCCGUGGGGACGUGAUUAACAUACAUAGAGUACAUAGAAGAGUGAGCUCUGAAAGAACUCUCACAUGGACCCCAGAAAGAGGAGUACUCAACGCCUGCUGCACAGAAGGCAUCAGCAGUUAAGUACUGGCUAGAAAAGCGGAGUCCAUCAAAGGAGAGGACCACAGUGGUAGCUGCCUGUUACAAGCUAUUGAGGCACUCCAGAGUGACGGCAUGUGAUCCCCCUGACACAAGAAACAGGCCCAGAUAACACACCGUUCAGACCGACAGCAGUUCUGGUUAUGCUGCAGUACAUCAGACGAGUGCUCUUAUCCAUCCACAGUUCUUAUCACAGUUACUUAUGCAUAUAUUCAUUUUUUAUAUAAAAGAAUCUUGAAUCGGUCACUUAAAUAUUGAAUCUCAAUAAUAAAAAAUACUAAAAGUAU
RNAcentral lists this long non-coding RNA (526 nucleotides) under Homo sapiens (human). RNAcentral describes it as "HSALNT0162201". Lineage: Eukaryota; Metazoa; Chordata; Mammalia; Primates; Hominidae. The record is from RNAcentral.